Molecule: non-coding RNA, 93 nt
Organism: Acanthosepion pharaonis
Lineage: Eukaryota; Metazoa; Mollusca; Cephalopoda; Sepiida; Sepiidae
Source: the annotation of a GenBank genome assembly
CAUUGAAACAUUGGUUCCUGUAAGAUCACUGAAGUUAAGCAAUGUCAAGCCUGGUCAGUACCUAGAUGGGUGACCGCUUGGGAAUACCAGAUG